UAAUUCUGGGAGUCAAGCGGAUCGAUGGGAGCUUGCUCCCUGAGAUCAGCGGCGGACGGGUGAGUAACACGUGGGUAACCUGCCUGUAAGACUGGGAUAACUCCGGGAAACCGGGGCUAAUACCGGAUAACACCUACCCCCGCAUGGGGGAAGGUUGAAAGGUGGCUUCGGCUAUCACUUACAGAUGGACCCGCGGCGCAUUAGCUAGUUGGUGAGGUAACGGCUCACCAAGGCGACGAUGCGUAGCCGACCUGAGAGGGUGAUCGGCCACACUGGGACUGAGACACGGCCCAGACUCCUACGGGAGGCAGCAGUAGGGAAUCUUCCGCAAUGGACGAAAGUCUGACGGAGCAACGCCGCGUGAGUGAAGAAGGUUUUCGGAUCGUAAAACUCUGUUGUUAGGGAAGAACAAGUGCCGUUCGAAUAGGGCGGCACCUUGACGGUACCUAACCAGAAAGCCACGGCUAACUACGUGCCAGCAGCCGCGGUAAUACGUAGGUGGCAAGCGUUGUCCGGAAUUAUUGGGCGUAAAGCGCGCGCAGGUGGUUUCUUAAGUCUGAUGUGAAAGCCCACGGCUCAACCGUGGAGGGUCAUUGGAAACUGGGGAACUUGAGUGCAGAAGAGGAAAGUGGAAUUCCAAGUGUAGCGGUGAAAUGCGUAGAUAUUUGGAGGAACACCAGUGGCGAAGGCGACUUUCUGGUCUGUAACUGAACAACCGCAAGGCGCAAA
RNAcentral lists this ribosomal RNA (729 nucleotides) under Rossellomorea marisflavi. RNAcentral's name for it is "bacterial SSU rRNA". It matches the Rfam family "Bacterial small subunit ribosomal RNA", at positions 49 to 757 of the family's 1533-position model. Lineage: Bacteria; Bacillati; Bacillota; Bacilli; Caryophanales; Bacillaceae. The record is from RNAcentral.